RNAcentral lists this ribosomal RNA (460 nucleotides) under uncultured bacterium. RNAcentral's name for it is "partial 16S ribosomal RNA". It matches the Rfam family "Bacterial small subunit ribosomal RNA", at positions 338 to 795 of the family's 1533-position model. The record is from RNAcentral.
CCUACGGGUGACUGCAGUGAGGAAUAUUGGGCAAUGGGCGCGAGCCUGAACCAGCCAAGUCGCGUGAGGGAGGACGGCCCUACGGGUUGUAAACCUCUUUUGCCGGGGAGCAACGGGCGUCACGUGUGGCGCCACUGAGAGUACCCGGAGAAAAAGCAUCGGCUAACUCCGUGCCAGCAGCCGCGGUAAUACGGAGGAUGCGAGCGUUAUCCGGAUUGAUUGGGUUUAAAGGGUGCGUAGGCGGAUCGUUAAGUCAGUGGUCAAAUUGAGGGGCUCAACCCCUUCCCGCCAUUGAAACUGGCGCUCUUGAGUGGAAGAGAAGUAUGCGGAAUGCGUGGUGUAGCGGUGAAAUGCAUAGAUAUCACGCAGAACCCCGAUUGCGAAGGCAGCAUGCCGGCUUCCGACUGACGCUGAAGCACGAAAGCGUGGGGAUCGAACAGGAUUAGAUACCCUGGUAGUC